This 677-nucleotide ribosomal RNA is filed under the name uncultured marine group I thaumarchaeote. RNAcentral describes it as "bacterial SSU rRNA". It matches the Rfam family "Archaeal small subunit ribosomal RNA", at positions 321 to 999 of the family's 1478-position model. The record is from RNAcentral. Lineage: Archaea; Thermoproteati; Nitrososphaerota.
CCCUAUGGGGUGCAGCAGGCGAGAAAACUUUGCAAUGUGCGAAAGCACGACAAGGUUAAUCCGAGUGUUUCCUGCUAAAGGAAUCUUUUGUCAGUCCUAAAAACACUGAUGAAUAAGGGGUGGGCAAGUUCUGGUGUCAGCCGCCGCGGUAAAACCAGCACCUCAAGUGGUCAGGAGGAUUAUUGGGCCUAAAGCAUCCGUAGCCGGCUGCACAAGUCUUCGGUUAAAUUCAUAUGCUCAACAUAUGGGCUGCCGGAGAUACUGUGCAGCUAGGGAGUGGGAGAGGUGGACGGUACUCGAUAGGAAGGGGUAAAAUCCUUUGAUCUAUUGAUGACCACCUGUGGCGAAGGCGGUCCACUAGAACACGUCCGACGGUGAGGGAUGAAAGCUGGGGGAGCAAACCGGAUUAGAUACCCGGGUAGUCCCAGCUGUAAACUAUGCAAACUCAGUGAUGCAUUGGCUUGUGGCCAGUGCAGUGCCGCAGGGAAGCCGUUAAGUUUGCCGCCUGGGAAGUACGUACGCAAGUAUGAAACUUAAAGGAAUUGGCGGGGGAGCACCACAAGGGGUGAAGCCUGCGGUUCAAUUGGAGUCAACGCCAGAAAUCUUACCCGGAGAGACAGCAGAAUGAAGGUCAAGCUGAAGACUUUACCAGACAAGCUGAGAGGUGGUGCAUGGCC